CGCGUAGGCGGAUGACAUAGUCAGAUGUGAAAUUCCUGGGCUCAACCUGGGGACUGCAUUUGAUACGUGUUGUCUUGAGUGUGGAAGAGGGUCGUGGAAUUCCCAGUGUAGAGGUGAAAUUCGUAGAUAUUGGGAAGAACACCGGUGGCGAAGGCGGCGACCUGGUCCAUAACUGACGCUGAGGCGCGAAAGCGUGGGGAGCAAACAGGAUUAGAUACCCUGGCAGUCCACGCUGUAAACGAUGUGCGCUGGAUGUUGGGUGACCUAGUCACUCAGUGUCGUAGCUAACGCGAUAAGCGCACCGCCUGGGGAGUACGGCCGCAAGGUUGAA
RNAcentral lists this ribosomal RNA (331 nucleotides) under uncultured bacterium. Its description in RNAcentral is "bacterial SSU rRNA". It matches the Rfam family "Bacterial small subunit ribosomal RNA", at positions 568 to 898 of the family's 1533-position model. The record is from RNAcentral.